UCCGCUACAUCGCAAACCGGAAACAUCGUCGCGGGCUAGUUAUUUCGGAUUAUAAAGUAUUGUUAAUAGACGCAUCAUUCUGCACUGACGGACAGCGGACCCGCUGGUGCACGAAAUU
RNAcentral lists this small RNA (118 nucleotides) under Sinorhizobium meliloti 2011. Its description in RNAcentral is "putative ncRNA". The record is from RNAcentral. Lineage: Bacteria; Pseudomonadati; Pseudomonadota; Alphaproteobacteria; Hyphomicrobiales; Rhizobiaceae.